CAUACAUCAGGCUUCCGACAGCUGAAGCAUAAGGUGUGGCCUUACUCUUAUCCAUAUUAAAUCUCUUAAGCAUUUUCUCAAUAUAUGCUUUUUGAGACAAUCCUAGUACUCCUUUGGUCCUAUCUCGGUGUAUCUCAAUGCCCAGAACAUAAGAGGCUUCACCAAGAUCUUUCAUAUCAAAA
Molecule: long non-coding RNA, 182 nt
Organism: Panicum virgatum (switchgrass)
Lineage: Eukaryota; Viridiplantae; Streptophyta; Magnoliopsida; Poales; Poaceae
Exons: 2
Source: RefSeq, a predicted model, not a curated record